AUGAUGAGACGCGCUCGCGCCCCCACCCGGCAUGCAAACACUGUCUCCGACGACAAGAUGGUGAGCCGCGCUCGCGCCCCCACCCUGCAUGCAAACCAUGUCUCCGAUGACAAGAUGAUGGACAAGAACGAGAUGGCGCCGGUCCAGGGGGUGCCGCGCAUGCGAGGGAGCAUCGCGUCGUCAAGUGCGGUUGGUAAGUAUACUUUAUGCUGCUUUUUUUUGUCAACAUCGUCUCCGUGCAGGCUACACUGGCAAACAAGCUGCUUAACUCUUGUGCAUGCUGGUUUUUCGUCAUCACUAGUAUACUGGUAUUGGACUGAAGCUUGUUAG
Molecule: ribosomal RNA, 330 nt
Filed under: Triticum aestivum (bread wheat)
Lineage: Eukaryota; Viridiplantae; Streptophyta; Magnoliopsida; Poales; Poaceae
Description: partial small subunit ribosomal RNA
Source: RNAcentral